This 482-nucleotide ribosomal RNA is filed under the name uncultured bacterium. Its description in RNAcentral is "bacterial SSU rRNA". It matches the Rfam family "Bacterial small subunit ribosomal RNA", at positions 9 to 473 of the family's 1533-position model. The record is from RNAcentral.
GAGUUUGAUCCUGGCUCAGGAUGAACGCUGGCGGCGUGCCUAAUACAUGCAAGUCGAGCGAACAGAUAAGGAGCUUGCUCCUUUGAAGUUAGCGGCGGACGGGUGAGUAACACGUGGGUAACCUACCUAUAAGACUGGGAUAACUUCGGGAAACCGGAGCUAAUACCGGAUAACAUUUAGAACCGCAUGGUUCUAAAGUGAAAGAUGGUUUUGCUAUCACUUAUAGAUGGACCCGCGCCGUAUUAGCUAGUUGGUAAGGUAACGGCUUACCAAGGCGACGAUACGUAGCCGACCUGAGAGGGUGAUCGGCCACACUGGAACUGAGACACGGUCCAGACUCCUACGGGAGGCAGCAGUAGGGAAUCUUCCGCAAUGGGCGAAAGCCUGACGGAGCAACGCCGCGUGAGUGAUGAAGGGUUUCGGCUCGUAAAACUCUGUUAUUAGGGAAGAACAAAUGUGUAAGUAACUGUGCACAUCUUGAC